AACGAACGCUGGCGGCAGGCUUAACACAUGCAAGUCGAACGCUCCCUUCGGGGAGAGUGGCAGACGGGUGAGUAACGCGUGGGAACCUACCUAGUGGUACGGAAUAGCUCAGGGAAACUUGGGGUAAUACCGUAUACGCCCUUAGGGGGAAAGAUUUAUCGCCAUUAGAUGGGCCCGCGUUGGAUUAGCUUGUUGGUAGGGUAACGGCCUACCAAGGCAACGAUCCAUAGCUGGUCUGAGAGGAUGAUCAGCCACACUGGGACUGAGACACGGCCCAGACUCCUACGGGAGGCAGCAGUGGGGAAUAUUGGACAAUGGGCGAAAGCCUGAUCCAGCCAUGCCGCGUGAGUGACGAAGGUCUUCGGAUUGUAAAACUCUUUUAGCAGGGACGAUAAUGACGGUACCUGCAGAAUAAGCCCCGGCUAACUUCG
Molecule: ribosomal RNA, 431 nt
Filed under: uncultured Hyphomicrobiaceae bacterium
Lineage: Bacteria; Pseudomonadati; Pseudomonadota; Alphaproteobacteria; Hyphomicrobiales; Hyphomicrobiaceae
Description: bacterial SSU rRNA
Rfam family: Bacterial small subunit ribosomal RNA
Source: RNAcentral